UACGGAGGGUGCAAGCGUUAUCCGGAAUCACUGGGUUUAAAGGGUGCGUAGGCGGCGCGAUAAGUCAGUUGUGAAAUUCCCCGGCUUAACCGGCGGAACUGCGAUCGAUACUGUCGUGCUUGAAUCAGGUUGAGGUAGGCGGAAUGUGGCAUGUAGCGGUGAAAUGCUUAGAUAUGCCAUAGAACACCGAUUGCGAAGGCAGCUUGCUGGACCUCGAUUGACGCUGAGGCACGAAAGCGUGGGGAGCAAACAGG
Molecule: ribosomal RNA, 254 nt
Filed under: uncultured bacterium
Lineage: Bacteria
Description: partial 16S ribosomal RNA
Rfam family: Bacterial small subunit ribosomal RNA
Source: RNAcentral